AUUUGGGUCCACGGAUUCAACAAGGAUCAGGGGACAUAAUUCUUGAGUUUGGACGAGAAAAAAAAACACAGCUUUAUUUUCACGCACAAAUGUAACUGAAAUUUAGCAUUUUCAUUAUUUGUGAAUAUAGGCAACAAAUCCUGGUGUAUAAAUACUCUCUGUGAUUUUUGUCAUCCACAAAAUUACAGAUACUCUCCUAUCUUACAUCAGGUUGUUGUCGGUACAGGCAGACCUCAUUUCAUUGCACUUCACUUUAUUGCACUUCACAGAUACUGCAUGUUUUCUUUUUUACAAAUUAAAGUUUUAUGACAACCCUGAGUUGUCAGAUGAUGGUUAGCUUUUUUUUCCUAAGCAAUAUUUUUUAAUUAUGGUCUACGCUUUUUUAAAAGACAUAAUACUAUUGUUCACUUAAUAGACUACAGUGUCUGGAACCAAGCCUGCAGGAUCUCUGAGCUACCAUGUUGUGAGCUGCUCUACAGGAAAGAACGAAGAACCAUCUCAGGUCAACAGUCACUGAGGAACUAAAGCUUUCAGUUUGACCUCCCAUGAGAAACCAAAUCCUGCCUACACCCACGAGUGAGCUUUGGAAGCAGACCCACCCCCAGUUGAUCUGAAGAUGACUGCCAUCCUGCCCAGCUCCUAGACUGCAGCCUUGUGAGACAUCCUGAACCAGAAGACUCAGCUAACCAUGCCCAGAUUCCAGACCCACAGAAACAUGAGAAAAGAGAUGUCUGUUGUUUUCAUAUGUAUUUGAUUC
Molecule: long non-coding RNA, 757 nt
Organism: Bos taurus (domestic cattle)
Lineage: Eukaryota; Metazoa; Chordata; Mammalia; Artiodactyla; Bovidae
Source: Ensembl